Molecule: long non-coding RNA, 622 nt
Filed under: Cyanoderma ruficeps (rufous-capped babbler)
Lineage: Eukaryota; Metazoa; Chordata; Aves; Passeriformes; Timaliidae
Description: lncRNA (ENSCRFG00000014190.1)
Source: RNAcentral
UGGACAGUAGUGGGGGUUUUGUUGACUGUAGAUCUCGGGGUUUGUCAGGUGUGUUGAUUCAGUGUUUUGAUUACAGUUUUUUAAAGUCACUUAAAGGAGAGGGAUGUUUUUAUGAGUGUUUAUAAGGCUAAUAAAUCUCGCUAAGUUGUUGUGCCGGCUCCAUAAAAGACGCCUGAAUAUACACAGGAAUCUGAAAAAUUGUUUUCAUUCCUUAUGCUUCAGGAAUGAAAGAAUAUCAGCUUUAAUUUUACUCUGAAGAGUGAAAAGAAAUAGGAGCCCACAGGCUACUGACCUGAGAGGUGACGAUCAGUGGGCACCCUCGUUGCAUAGUGUGAGCCUGUGGUCACUGACUUGCUGUAGAGGAGCUCCAGUCUUAGCAAAGACCUUGGCAUGUUGGAGUGUGUUAAAUUUCCUUCCACAGAAGGGGAGAGAAAAAAAUCUUAUCUUUGACCAGAUGAAAGGUUGUGAGACCUUUUUCUACUCCAUGUAAUAAAAAGAGCUGUUUACAAUUCUGAGAGCACUGUGUGUAAUGUCACAUUAAGUACUGCAUUUAGAAAAUGUGCCAAGGUAUUUUAGCAAUUAAAUCUCCUGGUAGGAAAACAAAACUCAGCCAACCAUCCCC